CCUACGGGCGGCUGCAGUGGGGAAUAUUGGACAAUGGGGGCAACCCUGAUCCAGCCAUGCCGCGUGUGUGAAGAAGGCCCUCGGGUUGUAAAGCACUUUCAGUGAGGAAGAACGCCUGGUGGUUAAUACCCAUCAGGAAAGACAUCACUCACAGAAGAAGCACCGGCUAACUCCGUGCCAGCAGCCGCGGUAAUACGGAGGGUGCGAGCGUUAAUCGGAAUUACUGGGCGUAAAGCGCGCGUAGGUGGCUUGAUAAGCCGGUUGUGAAAGCCCCGGGCUCAACCUGGGAACGGCAUCCGGAACUGUCAAGCUAGAGUGCAGGAGAGGAAGGUAGAAUUCCCGGUGUAGCGGUGAAAUGCGUAGAGAUCGGGAGGAAUACCAGUGGCGAAGGCGGCCUUCUGGACUGACACCGACACUGAGGUGCGAAAGCGUGGGUAGCAAACAGGAUUAGAUACCCCGGUAGUC
RNAcentral lists this ribosomal RNA (465 nucleotides) under Vreelandella stevensii. RNAcentral describes it as "partial 16S ribosomal RNA". It matches the Rfam family "Bacterial small subunit ribosomal RNA", at positions 338 to 795 of the family's 1533-position model. The record is from RNAcentral. Lineage: Bacteria; Pseudomonadati; Pseudomonadota; Gammaproteobacteria; Oceanospirillales; Halomonadaceae.